CAAUAGCGUAUAUUAAAGUUGUUGCGGUUAAAAAGCUCGUAGUUGGAUUUCUGCUGAGAACGACCGGUCCGCCCUUUGGGUGUGUAUCUGGCUCUUUCUUGGCAUCUUCUUGGUGAACGUUGCUGCACUUGACUGUGUGGAGCGCUACCCAGGACUUUUACUUUGAGGAAAUUAGAGUGUUUCAAGCAGGCAUACGCCUUGAAUACAUUAGCAUGGAAUAAUAAGAUAGGACCUCGGUUCUAUUUUGUUGGUUUCUAGAGCUGAGGUAAUGAUUAAUAGGGAUAGUUGGGGGCAUUCGUAUUUAACUGUCAGAGGUGAAAUUCUUGGAUUUGUGAAAGACGGACUACUGCGAAAGCAUUUGCCAAGGAUGUUUUCAUUGA
This 380-nucleotide ribosomal RNA is filed under the name uncultured eukaryote. RNAcentral's name for it is "partial 18S ribosomal RNA". It matches the Rfam family "Eukaryotic small subunit ribosomal RNA", at positions 592 to 976 of the family's 1831-position model. The record is from RNAcentral.